This 497-nucleotide ribosomal RNA is filed under the name uncultured bacterium. RNAcentral's name for it is "partial 16S ribosomal RNA". It matches the Rfam family "Bacterial small subunit ribosomal RNA", at positions 28 to 507 of the family's 1533-position model. The record is from RNAcentral.
GAUGAACGCUGGCGGCGUGCCUAAUACAUGCAAGUCGAGCGAACAGACGAGGAGCUUGCUCCUCUGACGUUAGCGGCGGACGGGUGAGUAACAUGUGGAUAACCUACCUAUAAGACUGGGAUAACUUCGGGAAACCGGAGCUAAUACCGGAUAAUAUAUUGAACCGCAUGGUUCAAUAGUGAAAGACGGUUUUGCUGUCACUUAUAGAUGGAUCCGCGCCGCAUUAGCUAGUUGGUAAGGUAACGGCUUACCAAGGCAACGAUGCGUAGCCGACCUGAGAGGGUGAUCGGCCACACUGGAACUGAGACACGGUCCAGACUCCUACGGGAGGCAGCAGUAGGGAAUCUUCCGCGAUGGGCGAAAGCCUGACGGAGCAACGCCGCGUGAGUGAUGAAGGUCUUCGGAUCGUAAAACUCUGUUAUUAGGGAAGAACAAAUGUGUAAGUAACUAUGCACGUCUUGACGGUACCUAAUCAGAAAGCCACGGCUAACUACGUG